This 256-nucleotide ribosomal RNA is filed under the name uncultured bacterium. RNAcentral describes it as "partial 16S ribosomal RNA". It matches the Rfam family "Bacterial small subunit ribosomal RNA", at positions 522 to 776 of the family's 1533-position model. The record is from RNAcentral.
UACGGGGGGGGGGCAAGCGUUGUUCGGAAUUACUGGGCGUAAAGGGCUCGUAGGUGGCCCAACUAAGUCAGACGUGAAAUCCCCAGGCUCAACUUGGGAACUGCGUCUGAUACUGGAUGGCUUGAAUUCGGGAGAGGGAUGCAGAAUUCCAGGUGUAGCGGUGAAAUGCGUAGAUAUCUGGAGGAACACCGGUGGCGAAGGCGGUUCUCUGGGCCUUACCUGACGCUGAGGAGCGAAAGCGUGGGGAGCGAACAGG